CUCAUAGCACUGCGCAAUUCCGUGUUUCGUAUCGGUAUGAAAUGUAUUAUAUUAUAAUGUAUAACUGUGUAUUAUUUUAAAAUAUGCACAUAAUGGCAUUGCGAGUUCAGUGCAUUGCGUCGAACAGUUACUGCGCAACAAGUGAAUAAAAUCGAGUACGAUAAUUGCGCGGGAGGCAGUUGUUCGACCGAUCGCCGUUGACAUGGGCGCCGCUGCAAAAAACGCCCGUCCUCACGUGGUCACCAGGUGGAUUGGUUUACCUGUGCCAGCUAUCGGAAGCUCGCUUGUCGUUGAAAGAGAGCCUUUGCCGCAGCACGCUGCGCACGUUGGCGGCGCUGGGGCUAGGAGACGCCCACUUGCGAGGCCUGUUGCUAUACCACCUGCAUGCUUCGCUGGCGGAACGCGCCCG
This 409-nucleotide unclassified non-coding RNA is filed under the name Zerene cesonia (dogface butterfly). RNAcentral's name for it is "sET domain-containing protein SmydA-8-like, transcript variant X1". The record is from RNAcentral. Lineage: Eukaryota; Metazoa; Arthropoda; Insecta; Lepidoptera; Pieridae.